GUUUAUCAAGGAAUCUAUGACAACACGACCCUUAGGUUCCUAUGAAAGAAACAAAAGUGGGUUACACGCAGGUUCAUAGUGCAUUGACGAUUUAAGUCUAUAUGCCAUGAAAUACAAUAAUGAUAGUUAGUAAUAAUGACAAACCUUGGGUAAGUUCUUCCAUGAAUACUAAAAUUAUGGUGAAACUUAAUGUAUCUGCUAGAACUG
Molecule: non-coding RNA, 207 nt
Filed under: unclassified sequences
Description: RT-16 RNA
Rfam family: RT-16 RNA (bases 29-207)
About the family: candidate division DUSEL4 (Archaea). Nearby to self-splicing intron genes
Source: Rfam by way of RNAcentral